This is a long non-coding RNA of Ceratitis capitata (Mediterranean fruit fly), 396 nucleotides long. RefSeq lists it as uncharacterized. NCBI's taxonomy places the organism in Eukaryota, Metazoa, Arthropoda, Insecta, Diptera, Tephritidae. The record is from RefSeq and is a predicted model, not a curated record. The transcript is spliced from 3 exons.
UAAUUUUGCUUCUUUAAAUUUAAGAAAGUGUUUUAGUCGUGAAUACGUGUAUAUAGAAAAAUGCAUAAGCCUUGCUCAUCAAAAAUAAAACAUUUUCCAAGUUAUAAUUAAGAAGAAACAAACGUAAGCAACAUUGCAUUCCACAUACUUACAAGCCACCGGAAGCGCCUUCCUUUGUUUCCGGCUGAGAUGUUCAAUUUCAAUUUUCAAGCAGCCAUCGUGUCAGCUUCUAAUCUUGGAAGAAAUAUCAAAUUAAAACCCUGCAAUGCCUUCAAAACCAUUUGUGCCUGUAGCACCAACUUUUCAGCGGGAUCACCGCAUAUUUACGGCCAAUGCAAAUGUGUGGGCCACCCGAAAAUGGUAUAUAAACGUAUGGUGGCAAGCGCUCACUUUGUG